This is a non-coding RNA of Paramuricea clavata, 264 nucleotides long. NCBI's taxonomy places the organism in Eukaryota, Metazoa, Cnidaria, Anthozoa, Malacalcyonacea, Plexauridae. The record is from the annotation of a GenBank genome assembly.
AUUUUCCAUUAUUUUAAUUUGUUUUGUUAAACAGCGAAAAGUAACUUCGAAAACAAAAUUUUAUUCUUUACACAGCGGGUUUAUUUCUUUUUAGGAUCCAUUUGAUGACGUAUCGGAUAAGGUGAAGUCUUCACUUGACAAGAAACAGAAGUUUCAUUUAAACAGCGGAUUACAAAAGCUAAAUGUGGAUCAUUUUGUUCGUGAGUUAUUGGAACUUAUUUUGCUGUACUUGAAGCAUGUUCCUGAAGAUCAGUUGCACUUUCC